GACGAACGCUGGCGGCGUGCCUAAUACAUGCAAGUAGAACGCUGAAGGAGGAGCUUGCUUCUCUGGAUGAGUUGCGAACGGGUGAGUAACGCGUAGGUAACCUGCCUGGUAGCGGGGGAUAACUAUUGGAAACGAUAGCUAAUACCGCAUAAUAUUGACUAUUGCAUGAUAGUCAGUUGAAAGGUGCAACUGCACCACUACCAGAUGGACCUGCGUUGUAUUAGCUAGUUGGUGGGGUAACGGCUCACCAAGGCGACGAUACAUAGCCGACCUGAGAGGGUGAUCGGCCACACUGGGACUGAGACACGGCCCAGACUCCUACGGGAGGCAGCAGUAGGGAAUCUUCGGCAAUGGACGGAAGUCUGACCGAGCAACGCCGCGUGAGUGAAGAAGGUUUUCGGAUCGUAAAGCUCUGUUGUAAGAGAAGAACGAGUGUGAGAGUGGAAAGCUCACACUGUGACGGUAUCUUACCAGAAAGGGACGGCUAACUACGUG
Molecule: ribosomal RNA, 495 nt
Filed under: uncultured bacterium
Lineage: Bacteria
Description: partial 16S ribosomal RNA
Rfam family: Bacterial small subunit ribosomal RNA
Source: RNAcentral